GACGAACGCUGGCGGCGUGCUUAACACAUGCAAGUCGAACGGAAAGGCCCUGCUUUUGUGGGGUGCUCGAGUGGCGAACGGGUGAGUAACACGUGAGUAACCUGCCCUUGACUUUGGGAUAACUUCAGGAAACUGGGGCUAAUACCGGAUAGGAGCUCCUGCUGCAUGGUGGGGGUUGGAAAGUUUCGGCGGUUGGGGAUGGACUCGCGGCUUAUCAGCUUGUUGGUGGGGUAGUGGCUUACCAAGGCUUUGACGGGUAGCCGGCCUGAGAGGGUGACCGGCCACAUUGGGACUGGGGUACGGCCCAGACUCCUACGGGGAGCAGCAGUGGGGAAUAUUGCACAAUGGGCGGAAGCCUGAUGCAGCAACGCCGCGUGCGGGAUGACGGCCUUCGGGUUGUAAACCGCUUUCGCCUGUGACGAAGCGUGAGUGACGGUAAUGGGUAAAGAAGCACCGGCUAACUACGUG
RNAcentral lists this ribosomal RNA (468 nucleotides) under uncultured bacterium. Its description in RNAcentral is "partial 16S ribosomal RNA". It matches the Rfam family "Bacterial small subunit ribosomal RNA", at positions 28 to 507 of the family's 1533-position model. The record is from RNAcentral.